Molecule: long non-coding RNA, 3953 nt
Filed under: Sus scrofa (pig)
Lineage: Eukaryota; Metazoa; Chordata; Mammalia; Artiodactyla; Suidae
Description: lncRNA (ENSSSCG00050033627.1)
Source: RNAcentral
GGGCUGCACCUGCAGCAUAUGGGGGUUCCUGGGCUAGGGGUUGAAUCAGAGCUAUAGCUGCCAGCCUACGUCACAGCCAUAGCAACAUUGGAUCUGAGAUGCAUCUGAGCUCAUUAUCUCAGCUGGCCUUCACCCUGAGCCUGACCGAGAUGGCCUGACCCUUGCUGGGACAGCCCACCCCCAGGCCUGGACCAUCCUCUGAACAGCAGGGCUGAGAUGCACUGACUUGGAUCGUCGCAGAUGCCAAAGAGCCACCCUGGUGAUUUUCACAGGACGGUGCAUCAAUCCCAUUCUCGAUUGUGAGACAUGUGUUUAUGAGUCCAUUGAUCCAGCUCUCUGGUUCCUCCAGGGAUGGAAGUUUUUUGGGGGGCACGUGCACGCACACACACACACACACACACACACACGCGCGCGCAACCAGGCACAUGGGCUGUUCAGGUCCUACAUCCCAGCAUGUACCCAGGGCCAAUUUAAUUUUUAAAAAUUCCUGGAGUGGAGUUCCUGUCAUGGCUCAGUGGAAACGAAUCUGACUUGUAUCCAAGUCAUGAAGACACAGGUUCAAUCCCUGGCCUCGCUCCGUGGGUUAAGGAUCUGGCGUUGUCAUGAGCUGUGGUGUAGGCUGCAGACAUGGCUCGGACCCCGUGUUGCUGUGGCUGUGGCAUAAGCUGGCAGCUGCAGCUCUGAUUCAACCCCUAACCUGGGAACUUCCAUGUGCCACAGGUGCGGCCCUAAAAAGACCAAAAAAAAAAAAAAUUAAAAAAAAAUUUCUGGGGCUAUGUCAAUACCUCUUACAUGGUCUGGGGUUAGGGCAUCAGUUUGUGGGGCUGGCCUCACCAACUGAGCUAAAUGGGGCCAAUUUAUUGUUUUCUAGGGUGGAUCCCGGGCUUGGUUAAAUUUUCAAAAUUGUUCCAUGAAGCAGUUUAUUCAUAUCAUGAUCCCUGGCUGCCUCACAGCCACACUUGAACUUAGAACACUGAGAUUUUUCACAUCAGAAAUGAGGACCGUCUACCACAUUAGCAAAGAUUUAAUAAAAUUUCAUAGUUUUCUACUGGGAACAUAAAUUGGAACAAUACUUUGAGGAAAUAAUUUCAUAAUAGAUAGCCACACUUGAACGUGUUUAUACCCUCUGACCUAGAAACACCACUGCUGGGAAUCCAGCCAAAGGAAAUAGUCUGAAAUACAGAGAUUUUAAAAAAGAAGAAAAGCAAAACCUAAUACACAAUCAUUUUCAUAUUAGCAUUAUUUAUCAUUUGAAAAUGAGAAGUAACUUAAAUAUAAAACAGUAAGGGUGUGGCUAAGUAACUUAUGACACAGCACAUGAUAGAAUAUUAAGCACAUGUUUAAAAUUACGUUUACGAAGAGUUUAUAAGUGGGGAAAUUACUUGAGUUACAAGGUUUCCUACCUGUAUAGAUAUAUGAUCUUCCUUCCAGCCCAUCCAACGAAAAUGCACACACACACACACACACACACACACACGUGUGCGUGUGCAAAUAGCACGUGGACUGUUCCGGUCUUACAUUCCUAUUAAAUAUAUCUACAUAUAUAUAUUAUUAUCUACAUGUAAUCUCAACUAUGGAAAAUAAUUAACAUAAAAAUUUUAAAGGAAAUAUUAACAACCAUUGUGGGGCGUUGGCACUCUGGGUACCUACUUUUAUCGUAUUCAUUUCUGUAUUUUCCAAAUACAAUUAAAAUUUUUCAUUUGGGGGAGGCCAUGCCCAUGGCAUGUGGAGGUUCCAGGGCCAGGGAUCGAACCUGUGCUACAGCAGCAACCCAAGGUGCUGCAGUGACAACACGGGAUCCUCAAUUCACUGUGCCCCAAGAGAACUCCUAAAAUUUUUCAUUUUAAAUUCAUUUUGUUAAACUUUGUGGACCAAAAAAAGUAUGUUAGGGGAGAGGGGAAGGGCCAGUCACAUCUCUGCCGCCGCCGCAUCGUCAGGUGCCCUCAGGGAAGUGAUGUGACCUUUCUGUGUCCCCCUCUCCCCACCCAGCACCCUUCCCCCAUCUCCGUAAUGAGUAUAGAGGAUCACAUGAUCCCUACCGUCCAUUCUGCUCGCAGUCUGUGUCUCAAAAUAUCAUCCCACUGUGUUUGAGAAUGGAAUCUCAAAAAGGGGCCCAAGAGGCGUAAACAACUUACGAGUAAAAUACUAUAAUCAUCCUAACAAGCCAUGGCUUGGAAGGGCCUUCUAGAAGAUGCAGCUGUUCUUUUACAGUCAGCGGAGGAACAUGCUGACAUGAUGUCCUUGGGUUUGGACAUCUGGAGCCAAAGAACAGAAAGAAGGGGGUCGCUGGCAGCUGUGCUGUGAAGCCAGGAAUGGUGGCUGGAGGCGGGGGGGGCACUCAGCCCUGCAUCUCCAUCCCUCCAACCACCAGCCCGGCUGUUGCUAAUCUCCCAGGUCCAGGGCAGACGGCAUGAUGACCCACGCUGGGCGAGCAGGACACAUCUCAUAUCCUGCAACUUCCUCUGGCAGCUCCAGCCCCCAGCACCCUCCCCUGGACCAAAGCCCAGGGAUGUCUUUAUCUGUUUUGAGCCUGGGGGCCCCUCCUCACACACUAGGAUGGUCUCAGGUCUCUGAGUCCCAUUUCCUCAGUGGCAUCAUCUGGCACCCCUUGACGUCUGCCCCUCUCUGGACAAGCCCACAGCACCUGGGUGGUCCACAGAGGGGGAGAAAUGAGGAGAAACCACAUACUGAACUAGCUCCUCACCCUGCACCACAGGAUGAAUGGCUCUCAGGUCUCUUCCAAGGUGGGAUUCUACAACUGGAUCAUCUCACGUGAUCGUGUAGUGAUCUCUUGGGAUGUGCAGGGGGAUUGGUUCCGGGACCCUGUGGGUACCAAAAUCCAUGGAUGCUCAAGUCCCUUACAUGCAAUGGCACAGUACAGCCGACCUCCUGUAGCCCCAGGUCCUGCAUCCGCAGAUACAGAGGGCCGACGGCAUCUCUCCUCUGGACCUUGACCAUCUGUCCAAAGGCUCAGAGAAAACAGGACUUGCUUCUAGUCCUGCCAUUUGGCUGGCACGCACCAGGAAGGAUGGAAGUUAAAACAGUAACAUAUCUCCAGGGGUUGGUAAAUGGCCACUGCCUUCUGACCCUUCCCUGGCUGCCUCAGCAGCCCAGGCUCUUCCGCCAGGACACUGCCCAAGGACCUCCCUAAGAUCUGUCACCGAAAGGGUUAAAAAUGCCCCGCCCUGCAGGGGACCUUCAGGAUCUUGGCGCAGCAUUAGGAUUUCUGCCCUUGGUGGAAAGGCCUGGAGUCUCACCUCUCCUGCUCCCUCUUCCUGAAUUGAGUCCAUUGGGUUGAGAGGAGCUGAGAUUGUAAAUCUCUGCCAGGAGAGUGGACUGAGCUCACCAGGGUGGUUUAGAAGGGUUUGGGACUGGCGUGUGCACACUCUGGUGUCUGGAAUGGAUGGCCAACGAGGACCUGCUCUAGAGCACAGGGAACUCUACUCACUAUUCUGUGAGAACCCACAUGGGGAAAGAAUCUGAAAAAGACAGGACGUGUGUAUGCGAAUAACAGAAUCGCUCUGCUGCACAGCAGAAAUCAUCACAACACUGCACCUGUCUCCACGUCAGGAAAACGUCUAGAAAUCAAAGACACAAGAGUAAUAAGGACAAAGGUUGGUUUGGAUCACCCUGAUGGGGUGGGGGAGACGGCAAGGGGUGGGCAAACGGGUAGGGAAAAGGGGGCUGUGACCAUCUGCUCUGCGCCCCUGCUUUGUUUGCACGGCUCACAUCUCCUUGAGCUGGGUUGAAAGUCCUACUGAGUGAGCCAAGACCACAGUAUCACAUGGCAUCACGGUGCUUCCUUCCGGGCUCUUCAAGCAGCUACUGAGCAGUGAUGGGGUCUCCCACUUGGCCUCUUCAGAAGGCAGAAGGAAGCGGAGACACUUUUCCUGGCUCCAGGCAGAGGGAAACACAGAGACGCUGAGCAGGUAGCUUCGGGUCACCUCGUCUAU